CGGCAACAGCUCAAAUUUGAAAUCUGGCCCCUCCGGGGUCCGAGUUGUAAUUUGGAGAGGAUGUUUCGGGCACGGUCCGGGCUUAAAUUUCUUGGAACAGAAUGUCACAGAGGGUGAGAAUCCCGUCUGGAGCUCGGACACGGCCUGUGUGAAACUCCUUCGACGAGUCGAGUUGUUUGGGAAUGCAGCUCUAAAUGGGUGGUAAAUUUCAUCUAAAGCUAAAUAUUGGCCAGAGACCGAUAGCGCACAAGUAGAGUGAUCGAAAGAUGAAAAGCACUUUGAAAAGAGAGUUAAACAGUACGUGAAAUUGUUGAAAGGGAAGCGCUGGCAACCAGACUUGCGCGUCGGGGUUCCCCCUUGCUUCUGCCUGGGUUACUCCCCGGCGUUCAGGCCAACAUCGGUUUCGGGGGUUGGUUAAAGGCCCUGGGAAUGUACCUACCCUCCGGGGUAGACUUAUAGCCCAGGGUGUCAUGCGACCUCCCGGGACCGAGGAACGCGCUUCGGCUCGGAUGUUGGCGUAAUGGUUGUCAGCGACCCGUCUUGAAACACGGACCAAGGAGUCUAACAUCUAUGCGAGUGUUAGGGUGUCAAACCCUUACGCGGAAUGAAAGUGAACGGAGGUAGGAAGCCCCUCAAAAAGGCUGCACUAUCGACCGAUCCUGAAGUUUACGGAUGGAUUUGAGUAAGAGCAUAGCUGUUGGGACCCGAAAGAUGGUGAACUAUGCCUGAAUAGGGUGAAGCCAGAGGAAACUCUGGUGGAGGCUCGCA
This 768-nucleotide ribosomal RNA is filed under the name Cyphellophora pluriseptata. RNAcentral describes it as "eukaryotic LSU rRNA". It matches the Rfam family "Eukaryotic large subunit ribosomal RNA", at positions 99 to 879 of the family's 3401-position model. Lineage: Eukaryota; Fungi; Ascomycota; Eurotiomycetes; Chaetothyriales; Cyphellophoraceae. The record is from RNAcentral.